Raphanus sativus (radish) is the source of this 1122-nucleotide long non-coding RNA. RefSeq lists it as uncharacterized. The record is from RefSeq and is a predicted model, not a curated record. The transcript is spliced from 5 exons. NCBI's taxonomy places the organism in Eukaryota, Viridiplantae, Streptophyta, Magnoliopsida, Brassicales, Brassicaceae.
CCAACAUCUAGGUUAUUUCUAGCGUGCCGUCUUCUCCUCUCCUCUAUUCCACCAUCAUUACCUCCGACCAUUAUACACAGAUAAAUUUGCAUGAAACAAAGAACAAAGUGGAAUUAGGGUUGGUGGACUGAUUCGUGGACCAGCAAUUCUCUUUGAUUCGAUCAAGAGUUUUUGCUUCUUUCAAUCAUUUAGAGAAAGGAAUCUUCAGAUAUCAGGUCCGGUUGAUCCAUACGAAAGGCCAUGUAUACAGAACUUUAAAAUAAGGUGUUUGUGGUUUGGUGGACUAAGCACAUAAACUCUACAAAAUUGUUAUCUUCAAAAACAAAAACAAAAACUCAGAGUUGAGACCAUUGCUCAAUCAUUACUAAAGGAUCACGAUUUAUCUAGCAAAAUAAGAAAUAACAAUCGGGUCCUUAGAAAACUAUAUGAAUUUUGAUGGCAAGAAACAAAGACGAGAGCUCAGGUCAGUCACUAUAUGAGUGGAACAGAGACAAGAGUGAAUUCUUGAGUCAAUGCCAAAAGAUAUUUAGAAGAUGCGAAAGCUCCUAAGCAAGCUUUCCCUUCACACGUUUCUGUAUGGUUUUAGACGUGCGGAUCAGGCAUUCAAAAGAUCAAGGUCACUGUUAAAUCUACUCAGUUCAGACUUGAUGUUUUCAAGAAUGUUGAGAGCAAUGCUGAGGUCAAAGUUUUGGAUGUUGAUGCCUUUUUCAUAUCACACAUCCAACUGAACCAAGCAGAAAAACAGAGGUGGAGGACGUAUCGUGUACUGUAAGAAUCCGUAGUAUUUUUUUCUAUUUAUGCUACUCUUUUUUCAACUUUUGUUUUAGUCACAGUGUGCUGACUCUCCAUUUUGCUGCUUACAUGUCAAACCCAUGCCAUAUUGAGUUGAUUUUGUCAAAGAAGGAAGAGCCUCUGAGAAAGAGAGAAGCCAAAGAAAGGAGCUUCUUCUUGAGCUUUCGUGAUCAUUUGUGUUACAACGCUAGAUACACUUUGUUUACUUUUUUCCUCUCACUUUGUUUACUUUUUUUUUUUUACUUUCUCUUUCGUUAAGACAAGUAACCAUAAUUGUAAAGACAUAAUGAUGAUUGGUUUCUGGAUUACUCAAGUUUUAAACUCUUUAAA